GUGUCAGCCGCCGCGGUAAUACGUAGGUGGCAAGCGUUGUCCGGAUUUACUGGGCGUAAAGGGCGUGCAGGCGGUCUGUUAAGUGCAGGGUGAAAGCUCCCGGCUCAACUGGGAGAGGUCCUUGCAUACUGGCGGACUUGAGGGGGGUAGAGGAAAGUGGAAUUCCCGGUGUAGUGGUGAUAUGCGUAGAUAUCGGGAGGAACACCUGUGGCGAAGGCGGCUUUCUGGGCCCUACCUGACGCUGAGACGCGAAAGCGUGGGGAGCGAACCGGAUUAGAAACCCGCGUAGUCC
RNAcentral lists this ribosomal RNA (292 nucleotides) under uncultured bacterium. Its description in RNAcentral is "partial 16S ribosomal RNA". It matches the Rfam family "Bacterial small subunit ribosomal RNA", at positions 505 to 796 of the family's 1533-position model. The record is from RNAcentral.